Molecule: small nuclear RNA, 107 nt
Filed under: Colobus angolensis palliatus
Lineage: Eukaryota; Metazoa; Chordata; Mammalia; Primates; Cercopithecidae
Source: RNAcentral
GUACUCACUUCGGCAGCACAUACACUAAAAUUGGAAUGAUACGGAGAAAUUUAGUAUGGCCCCUGCGCAAGCAUGACAUGCAAAUUCGUGAAGCAUUCCAUAUUUUU